Long non-coding RNA from Brassica napus (rape), 2050 nucleotides. RefSeq lists it as uncharacterized. The record is from RefSeq and is a predicted model, not a curated record. The transcript is spliced from 6 exons. Lineage: Eukaryota; Viridiplantae; Streptophyta; Magnoliopsida; Brassicales; Brassicaceae.
GCCAAUUAGAAAACACUUUUUCGCCACGUCAGACACACGAUGUCCAAAAGCCAGUCUAGCCCUUUUUUUUUCGUCUUCUCCGUUGUAUUCGCCAUUUGAUGACCUUUUCCAUUUCUUAUUCUAAGCAGACGAGCCUCACCGUAGAUCCGUUGACACCAUCUCACUCCCUGACAAUCAGAUGAGCCUCUGCCGCCCCAAUGACUGACCAGUCGCCACCGUCAGUCUCCCAGUCAUCCUCAAUCCGGGAGAGCACUCCGUUGGAGAACGAGCCACCAGAGCUUUCGAGCCCUCCUAUUAACCUCCGCACCAGAGAUCCUUCAGAUCCGCCAAGAUGGAAAGAGAGAAAGCUUCAACGACAUCACCAAACGACCACUACUCCGUCACGUUGUUCAUAAUCCGAAGGGGAGGAGGCGACGAAGCUUUCCGGCGUGAGCCAUAGAUCUUGCCACCUCCAAAACCCUAGACAGCACCGCACAAGAGGAGAGAGCUAGAGAGCAUGAGUUUACUUGCCACUCAAAGGCGUUUUUUUAACUUCUCCCAUUAUUGAUAUCAUGAAUCCUCUUCGACUCCUCUUUGUAUCUUUAUAUAAUCCAGAUGCAAGCCAUGGAAACCCUAACAAGCUAUGCCAGAAAUUAAGAUCUACUGAAUGAGCACAACAAAAACUCAGAUUCAAUAGAUCUCAGCAGAGCAGGAGUAUUUCGAGCAAACUCCACUCGACCAGUCUUUGGAAAUCAUUUCUCAGAAGAUGCACAUGCCGUGUGUUGCUGCUGAUUUUUGAGUUUGUAAUCAACCAAACACUAUGCUUUUCAUAUGUUCAUCUCUGCACUUCUUCAGGUCCCUUCUUUUUUUUUUUAUUCUAGCAACUUAACUUCUACUGCAUCCUCUAAUAGUUUCAUUAUCCAUUCAAAAUAUUUUUUUAUCUCAGCUAUGUGAUAGCUGAGACAUGUUAUUUAGACAAUUAGCCAGAUUUGUAUUGGAAGAUGAAGAUGCAGCCAAAAGGGUCUGACGGACUCCUUUUACCCUACAUGGAAACCAGAACUACAUAGAGAUCCCUAGAGGCAUUGCAGUGGUUGGGACAAUGUAUGGGUUGGUUAUGAUUGGAAAUACAAUUCAAGUUGUGCAGAGCCCUCCAAUGCAGUCUGGGAUUUUCAAAUCCAGUCUCUUUUUUUUAUCUUUCAUCACUCUCUCUCUUCACAGCUUGCUCAAUAAAAGGGAAAAUGAAGUUGUCAGUGUUGUAAAUACAAUUCUGGUGGUAUAUUCAAGGUGUAAGUGGUCACUGGUCAAGAAUAUGUGUGCUCUCAAAAGAAACAGAGGAAGCUGAAGAGUAGCCCAUAUUCUGCUCCAAACACAGACCUGGCUCUCUCCUGAUCCUUCGAGCUGAGGUUCAAUGUGGAAGGACGAGAAACCAACCAUGGUCUCAUGAGAAUUUUCAAUGAUCCUUCCAAGGAUAUAACGUUCUAUGUGGAGUUGAAAUACUUUCAUUUGUUUAAAGCUGCCAAAGAAGGAGGAUGGUUGGGACUACAAUACUGUUUAUAUAUGGUUUGAUUUCUUUCUACACCAUAAUACUCCUGCGUUACUGUCUCGACAGUGAGUUUGACCUCAAGACCUAUCCCGACAGUGCCCAAGCUGCGUUUCUACCACGUGACGUAUCUUUGUCUCGAUAAUUCUCUACUUGGAGCAGUACACAAGUACCUUCUCCAUUCAUCCAAUAAAUGACUUCAGUUUAUACUUUCUCAACUCUGUCUGUCAAGAAAAAGUGCAUAAUUACAGGAUUCCAAGUGGGGUUAAAACACACAACAGAAGAGAUCUUGAAGUAUGUAGAAUCCAUAGCCCCAUCUCCCAUGUCGUGAAACAAGUGAGCAUCGGGCCCCAUAGAUGAGAGCAUUUAAACAAAUCCAGUUUUCCAUUUUCGAUUCUUCUUGCAUGAUCUCCAUUUUAAUUGUGUGCAUGUUAGUCGUGUGUUUGAUCAUAUCCUUUUGUUUCGCGUACGAUAUUAUUAGGCUUUCAGUCAUUGUUUAUUGAUUAUUAAAAUAUCAGUCCAGCUUCUCGA